UAAUGUUUCCCAUAUUGAUCAUGGACUGACCAAAGCUAUCAAAGAAGUCGCUUUGGCUAUUAGCAAAGCGGUUCACAAUGGCAACAGUGUCUCCGCUAGUUGAGAAUAGCUCCUGAUCCGUUUGGAGAAGCCCGCGCUUGUUUUGGAGGUUUGUGAAGUAGUUGUGGUCGAACUCGUCACGCGUUGAUUGGUCAAGGUCCGCCAAUGUACCUCCAUUACCGCCGUUAGGACAUAUUUGCCGUAGCGUUUCUAAGUAUGUUGUGUCGAUGGUCGGGUCGGGGUUCCCCGUGCCACUGAAAUUGUACAGACGGUGGACGAAAGUAAGACAUCUUGCCCGCCCAAAUGUAUGAGCACCUGAGAAACCAAACGGUCACAUAUCUUUGCAAAUUUGUAUAUUAAAGCUAGUGAUCAGUUAUAUAUAUACCUGAUAAAGCAACCAGAUCAGUCGAAUCUAAUCCUACGUCGCUGAAUUUUUUUGUAAUUUGCUCAAGGUUUUCAAAAGGGCUUGGAAUGGCAGUGGUACCAGAUUGGUUGGCUGUCCUACUGUCUCUUCUUCCCAAUUGAACUUCCCACGUUGGGCCUCCAUUCUGUAACAUUCAUAAAUAAAAUAUAUAAUUAAUGACAAGAAAGAAAUAUAUAUAUAUAUAUAUAUAUAUAUAUAUAUAUAUAUAAGAAACCAUUAAUGUAAAUACGAAUAAUACUCCAUUAAUUAACUGAAGUUGCAAUUAAAAUAAUAUAUAAUUAAGAAUAAUAUGUAUGUAUGUUACCGCAGAAACCAAUAUUUGAGAAGCAAUUGCUAAAAUGUCGGCACAGGAGACAACACCAGGGCAAACAUUCUCGAGUGCAGUUUUGAUGUCAUCAACCACAUCAUAUCCAUCUGUGGAUUGAUUGGGACGUGCAUCUUUCUCACUCUCUAUGCCAUCUGCGUUGUCCAGCAUAAUCGAACCAUCACAACCCUGCAUCUUUAAUUAAUUAAUUAGUAUUUCACAUAGUUAACAUUACAAACAUCUCAUUAUUUAGACAAAUCACAAUUUGACACAAAUACAAAAAGAAUUUUCUUUUGUAUUUUUACGUACGUACGUUGACAAAGCAGUCGUGGAAAUGAACCUGGAUGAGUUUAGCACCAAUACGAAUAUCAUUUUGUUGAGCUUGCUCCACCACACCACGAACAACGCUGGUUACAUUUGGGCAUGUGGUGGUAUAGAAAGUUGAGCUUAGUUGAGCGUUGGAAUUUCCCAACACACAAAUAGUAAGAAGAAUAAUUGCUGCUACAAUUGAAAAUGAUGAAGACAUGAUGGUAAGAGGAAAACGAAUGUAAGAGGUUGCUGUAGUUAGUAGCUCUAACUUGGGAGAUGAGAUGGGAUGAUUGGAGACUAAUAUCUCUACCCUUUUAUAGGGAAAGUAUAUUAUUAUUAGGUGAGACGGUGCACGGCAUUUUAGUUAAAGAAUUUUCAAAAGUCCAGUGGAGGGGUCAAAUAUUUUACUGGAGAUAUAUGUAUGUAUAUUCCAAUGUCAAUAUAAUCUUGUGUCUAUUCUCCUUCGCCGUAGUCUUUGUAUCCAAUUAAUUCAUGUAGCGGAGCUGGUCACGAAGCAAUGAUUGUGCACUUGACGUGGGGUUUAAGACACUUUUUUUCCAAGUUCACAAUUAAUGCCUGGUUUUCAGAUCCAUAUAUAUUUUGGAGAAAAUGUUCUUUACACUUUCUACGUAGCACGUAUGAGUGUGAUCAGAUUUACCAUGAUGAUGAUUAAAUAAUAUAAAUUAUUAUAUUAUGAUAUAUUGGUAGUGUGUGUGUAUGCGAGAAAUCUCCAUUCUAUUGUAAUUUAAACUAUCAUUUAUAUUAGACUAUCGUCUGGACCAAAAUUUGAAGAAUUUAAUUAUAAUGGAAGUUAAUAAUGUAAUAUGUGGACCUUAAUGAUUAGAUCAAUAAUUAGUGUUGAUAUAUUUCAACAUGAAGUAGCUAGCUAGAGCAGUCAUGAACGUUUCUUUCUGGGCUAUACUUGUUCAAAUAUCGGAUGUAUGCGUUGCAGGAGAUCUAGGAUGUACAUAUAUCGAGUCUAGCAUUGUAGAAAUUCUGUAUAUGUAGUCAAUAAAAUCGAAAGACUUCAAUUAGACUGUCAAACCGCGUGGUAUAGUUGUGGCCACACCCACACCACAUCACUUUAAUUAGUCUCUGUAUCAUCUCAUCUCAUCUCAUCUCUCAAAAGGGUUGAUCUAUUCAUUCCUUAAAAUAUAGUAAUAUUAUAUAUAUAUAUGAAGAGUUAUUCUAAUCCUGCUUCUCUGUGUUCAAAGUCACUGGUCAUCCUACUCUGUGUUUGAAGUUUGCUUUCCAAUUCUGUAACUCUUUCAGUGUUUUUCUGUAUUUUGAGUCCUUUCUCUUAACCCAAACAAUAUGUCCUAGAUUCCAAACAAUAAGUCCCAGGUGAGGCAUGAGCGGAGAGAGAGAAAACCCCUCAGUUUUCAGGAAUUCUUGAACCCGUUAUAGAAUUUUAAGCUUUCCUUCUUACCCUUCGUAGAAAAACCAGUAACCUUUGUCCAAAUGAGUCGCCUUUUUAGAACAAACUCUUGUAACAGUAGUAGUUCUAGAGCCAAUAUUAGUAAACUCCCAGAAAUUGAAAAUGAAGAACAGAUAGAAUACGAAACUAGUAAUGAAAUUGACUACAAAGAUUGGAAUAUCCCCAAAAUCCCUAGUACAUAAAUUUACAAGAAGAAAUGGUUAUUUUCUAGUUUCAAAAGUACAACCCAUGUGAAAACAGUCGAACAAGUCUAUGCUUUGAGUAAAGAACACGAAACAUGACAAUUAUUAAACCUUGAGUCAAUAAAGAAACAUAAGAAUGAUGGAAACAAUUUCCUUCAUAUUGGUCUCGUCCAAGUGGCAGUCAAACCCCUUACCAGGUUAGGAUUAAAUGCUUCUAUUUUACUUUGCCUACGUGAUGCCAGAUUUACCAGCUUUAGUGAUAGUACCCUAGUAAUUAUUGAGUCAAGUCUAUUUAAUGGUCCAAUUCACUUUGAUUGUUACCCAGAUUUCACAGUCAACCUAAGUGAUCCCCAUAUACUAAAAACUCUGACAUUAAAUAUAAAAACUUCAGGGUAUAAAGUCUUACCAGGUACCCAACCUCUAGCCUUAGUUUACAUAAUUUAUUAUAAAGUCACAGGAACUAAUAUGAAUUUCCAAGCCCUUAAUAAAAGUCCAAAAGACCAAACCUUGCUUAUUCAUAGUAGUAAAGCCGAUGCUAAUAUAAGAGUCCCUCAUACAAUUAAAUGGUCAGAAGUCACUUUACCUCUAGAUUGGACACUAACAAUAGAAAAUCAAUCCACUCCUAUCCAGCACAAUUUAAAUAAUUUAGAUUAUAUUCAACAAUAUUUAGAUGGUACAGUAAAAAUAAAUUUUGGAAAUCAACCCCACAAGUCCCCAGUCCAAAUACAACAGCCCCCAACAGCUAGUCAAUCCCUUAGACAUACUCCUGCUAGACAUUCCUUUGCAGCCUCUUCCUCUACUCUGGAAAGAGACCUAGAGUUAGAAAAAACGUUAAUUGAUUUAAGAAAAACCUCCCAGGUCAACCAUCCUUGUUAUGGUAAGAAACCAAUCAAAGAAGAUGAAAAAUCAGAUUCCCCAAACUCCCCCACACAAACUGAUUUUGAAGCCGAACCCAUUCCAGUAGACAAUCAUUACGAACCCUUAAUAAAGAAUUUAAAAUUCAUUGGAAAAUCUUAGAUAACCAUUUACAUGCCCCUAAAAAUCUGAAUAAAAGAAAUAAUUAUCACAAGGCCUACCCAAGUAAAGAACAAAGACAACAAAUUUUAAACGAAUGGAAAAAUUUCAUGAAGAAUACUAAGUCCGAAAUAUUUUACCUUGAUUUUGUUGAAGGUCACUAUUUGUCCAAAGAAUUAAAAACUUUAACCCAAGAAAAAUAGAGAAAAGAGGAUAAUACCGAAAUUCUAGCCAGUCAUCCUCCUACUGAAACAAUAGUUAUGAAGAAUACUAAGUCCGAAAUAUUUUACCUUGAUUUUGUUGAAGGUCACUAUUUGUCCAAAGAAUUAAAAACUUUAACCCAAGAAAAAUAGAGAAAAGAGGAUAAUACCGAAAUUCUAGCCAGUCAUCCUCCUACUGAAACAAUAGUUAUCACCCAUAAAAAUACUAAACUUCUGGCAAGUCCUUUCAAAAUUCCAGAACAAAAUGAUAAAAAAAUAAUUGAGCAAAAUAAUUAUACAAACCAGAGUAUAAUAGUCAUUGGAAAACAAUUAGAUAAGAUAGAAACAAAAAUUGACAAAAUAGUCCCUCAACAAAUAUCCCUUAAGUCCCAAAAAGAAAAACCUUUAGUAAAAUUCCAAGAUCUAAAGUCAAACCCCACUCUCAAGUCAAGUCCCACAAUGAAAAAGAUUGAAGAAAUGCUUAAACAAUUAACCCCAAUUAAAGAAAAACCUGAAGUUUCUGGUCUCAAAGUCCUUGAGUCUUCCAUUUUAGUUAAUACCUCUGAAACAGAGUCUAUAACCAGUAACGAAGUGGAUUAUACUAAUAUAUCAAAAAUUGCGGAUGCCUUUAAAAAUUUAGAAAUAGAUAGUAAUCUGAAGCUUAAUAGAUUAAGGAACAAAGUCAAUCCUACUAGUCUAACAAAAACUUGGUAUCCCAAACCAACCCUUCCAGACAUUCAGUUUGAAGAAAGAAAUUAUCAAAGUCAAUUCUUAAUCUAAUCCGAUAAAUUAUAUGAAUGGAAUAUUGAUGGCCUUUCCGAACAAGAAAUUCUACAUAAACUUCAACAUAUGUCUAUGGUAGUUAAUAGAUACAUCACCAAUCACAAUUUAAGACAGUUAGAAAUUGUUCCCCUUUUAGAAACAGGAUUCAUUGGAACAUUACGUUCUUGGUGGGAUAAACAUUUAAGAGCAAGUCCACCCCAAAAGGCAAAGGCAAGGCAAAAGCAAGGCAAGCGCAUGCCACCAACCCCACAAGUCCCCAGUAAAAAUAAACUUCAGGGUUGGUGGCAUGCGCUGGACAUGCUCUAACUGAAGAGUCAAAACGGUAAAUCACACAUGCAGUAAAGUUAAAUGAAGAAGGUCUUCAUAUUUUUUAUGAACGUUUAGCUACGAGCAUAGAAGACGGAGUCAAUACCUUGUUAUAUACGAUUAUUGAACAUUUUAUAGGUACACCCAGUAAUACUAGACUAUCAUCUAGUAUUAAACAAUCAUUUAUAUUAGACUAUCGUCAGGACCAAAAUUUGAAGAAUUUAAUUAUAAUGGAAGUUAAUAAUGUAAUAUGUGGACUUUAAUGAUUAGAUCAAUAAUUAGUGUUGAUAUAUUUCAACAGGAAGUAGCUAGCUAGAGCAGUCAUGAACGUUUCUUUCUGGGCUAUACUUGUUCUAAUAUCGGAUAUAUGCGUUGCAGGAGAUCUAGGAUGCAUAUAUAUAUCGAGUCUAGCAUUGUAGAAAUUCUGUAUACGUAGUCAAUAAAAUCGAAAGAUUUCAAUUAGUCUGUCAAACCGCGUGGCAUAGUUGUGGCCACACCCACACCACAUCACUUUAAUUAGUCUCAUUAUCAUCUCAUCUCACAUCUCUCAAAAGGGUUGAUCUAUUCUUUCCUUAAAAUAUAGUAAUUAUAUAUAUAUAUAUAUAUAUAUAUCAGUCCCGAUCUCUUGGACCACAGGAGUCUAAGAGAUUGUGGUCACCCACCGUUGGAUAUUAAUCUAAUGGUAUAAAAAAGUUUAUUAAAAUGAGUGCGAGAGUGAGUGAACCGUUGAAUUUACAUCCAACGGUGAGUGACCACAAAUUUCUUGGACCCCUGUGGUCCAAGAGAUCAGGACUAAUAUAUAUAUAUGGCACUAAUUUUCUCACUCUCUUUUUAUCUACUUACAUUCUAUUUUUAAAAAAAUUGUAUGUUCUCACUCCUCUUUUGUUCACUUAAACUCCCUUUUAUCUUGUAGUAAAAAGUAUUAAAAAACAAAAGGAAGUGUAGAUGGAUAAAAGGGGAGUGAAAAAAUAACCACCCAAAAAAAAUAAAAUAAAAUAAAAUAUAUAUAUCCCAUAUAUAUCCGAGCUCGCCUCCUAAAUUUGACUACCAUAUAAAUGUGAUCAAAUACAAUCCAAGUUUAUAACAUUUUCUGAUUACAACGUUCUUUGAUCUUAUGCAAUGAUCAAUUAAGGUAGUGACAUAAGAUUUAUGUAUAAAUAUUGUGCAAAUUCAGAAUAACAUCCAUACUUGAAAAAAGAAAAAAAAGAAAAAAAAGAGUCGAAAAAAUAAGAGUCAUCCAUUUGUGCUCUCCAGCCUCUCCUUAAUUUGACUUUAUUAUUUCAUUAUAGUAGUUUAACGGUUAUCCAGAUAAUGUUAACUAAACUUAUCACAUUUAUAUACCACAUUGUGUACUACCUCUCCUUAAUUCCAUUACUUUAUUUGAAUGUCCAUUGGUAUGCCAGGCAGUACCAAGACAUAUAUAACAACAUGCAUGUUAUGAUGAUGUUUUAGUUUUACACCAUGCAUAUACAUGGACAACUACAUAAUAUGAUGAUUUCAAUUGACUCUUCUGCAAUCAGACCUAAUCUCUCCAUCACUGCCCGUCAAAGGUCUAAUGUUUCCCAUAUUGAUCAUGGACUGACCAAAGCUAUCAAAGAAGUCGCUUUGGCUAUUAGCAAAGCGGUUCACAAUGGCAACAGUGUCUCCGCUAGUUGAGAAUAGCUCCUGAUCCGUUUGGAGAAGCCCGCGCUUGUUUUGGAGGUUUGUGAAGUAGUUGUGGUCGAACUCGUCACGCGUUGAUUGGUCAAGGUCCGCCAAUGUACCUCCAUUACCGCCGUUAGGACAUAUUUGCCGUAGCGUUUCUAAGUAUGUUGUGUCUAUGGUCGGGUCGGGGUUCCCCGUGCCACUGAAAUUGUACAGACGGUGGACGAAAGUAAGACAUCUUGCCCGCCCAAAU
This 6896-nucleotide long non-coding RNA is filed under the name Prunus persica (peach). RNAcentral describes it as "long non-coding RNA (PPER_LNC005575)". The record is from RNAcentral. Lineage: Eukaryota; Viridiplantae; Streptophyta; Magnoliopsida; Rosales; Rosaceae.